Molecule: transfer RNA, 93 nt
Filed under: Diaphorina lycii
Lineage: Eukaryota; Metazoa; Arthropoda; Insecta; Hemiptera; Psyllidae
Description: tRNA-Leu
Source: RNAcentral
UCUAUUUUGGCAGAGUUAAUGUGUUAAAUUUAGGAUUUAUUUAUGUAAAAAAAUUACAGGUAGAAAUAUUUGUUAAUAUAAUUAUAUUUACUC